This 644-nucleotide ribosomal RNA is filed under the name uncultured bacterium. RNAcentral's name for it is "bacterial SSU rRNA". It matches the Rfam family "Bacterial small subunit ribosomal RNA", at positions 54 to 745 of the family's 1533-position model. The record is from RNAcentral.
CAUGCAAGUCGAACGAACCUUCGGGUUAGUGGCGGACGGGUGAGUAACGCGUGAGAAUCUGCCCUCAGGAGGGGGAUAACAGUUGGAAACGACUGCCAAUACCCCAUAUGCCGAGAGGUGAAAUGAAUUUCGCCUGGGGAUGAGCUCGCGUCUGAUUAGCUUGUUGGUGGGGUAAUAGCCUACCAAGGCUUCGAUCAGUAGCUGGUCUGAGAGGACGAUCAGCCACACCGGGACUGAGACACGGCCCAGACUCCUACGGGAGGCAGCAGUGGGGAAUUUUCCGCAAUGGGCGAAAGCCUGACGGAGCAACGCCGCGUGAGGGAUGGAGGCCUUUGGGCUGUAAACCUCUUUUCUCAAGGAAGAAGAUCUGACGGUACUUGAGGAAUAAGCCACGGCUAAUUCCGUGCCAGCAGCCGCGGUAAUACGGGAGUGGCAGGCGUUAUCCGGAAUUAUUGGGCGUAAAGCGUCCGCAGGCGGCCGUUUAAGUCUGUUGUUAAAUCGUGGAGCUCAACUCCAUCACGGCAAUGGAAACUGUUCGGCUUGAGUAUGGUAGGGGCAGAGGGAAUUUCCGGUGUAGCGGUGAAAUGCGUAGAUAUCGGGAAGAACACCAGUGGCGAAAGCGCUCUGCUGGGCCAUUACUGACG